This is a non-coding RNA of Equus asinus (donkey), 187 nucleotides long. NCBI's taxonomy places the organism in Eukaryota, Metazoa, Chordata, Mammalia, Perissodactyla, Equidae. The record is from Ensembl.
CUGGUCUGGAGAACGGCUCCUGUGUUGUUGAACCUGCCCGGCGGCGGGUGCAGCCCUGUACCAGGCAGCCCGACCCUGACCUACAGCAAAUUCCCAGGAGGACUGUUUCCUGGGCUCUGAAUUUGCAGUAACAGGUGUGAACAUUCUAGCAGCAUUGUGAUGAUCAUGUAUGAUACUGCAAACAGGA